CAGCCCCUGGGAACCCUGCAUGGAGCCCCUGGGGCAGGAGAAACCUCCCUGCAGGGCCCCUGCCCUGAGCGCUCCCUGUGGGAUCAGUGAAGGAAACAAAGGCAGAGAUCCCCAGGGUUUGUUGGGACAGUGUCGGCAGGGAAGGGAUGGAGCUGCAGUGGGUUGGAGCUGAUAGCACAGGCACACUUCAUUUCUCCCUGGUGGUGUCCCAGGCCAGGCUGCAUGGGGCUGGGAGCACUCUGGGACAGUGGAAGGUGUCCCUGCCCAUGGUGGCACUGGGUGGGCUUCGAGAUCCUUCCCGCCCACCCCAUCCCACGAUUGCCAGACCAUCUGCAGUGGCUGCAGGCCCUGUUUGACCCCUCGGGCCAGUGCAGGGAGCUUUCCCGAGGUUCCAGUGUGGGCUGUUCCUCCCCCAGCCAGCACUGCUGCCUCUCCCUGUGUGUGGAACGCGUGUGGGACACGGAAGGCACCGCUGGUGGCCUUGGACAGCAGCUCCUCGGGCAGCUCCGAGAGCGACGACGACGACGACGACAAGGCCAAGGCUGGCACGGAAUCCACGGCACAGGAGCCCAGCAAGGACAGGGCAGCUCCCUCCAGUGGCUCUGACGGAAAGGCUCCGGAGAUGCUUCCCGCGGGCGACUCCGGUGCCCCCCGUGCCCGGAACAGCGCGGCCACGCACACGGACGGGCACCAGAGAGUGGCCACUGCUGUCACAACUGCCACAGAAACGGCCACGAGAGACAGGUGAGCGCAGAAUCCUGGCAUGGCUGGCUGGGNCACUCCAGUGUCACAGGAGGAUCUCUGUCCGUGAUCUGGGAUCAGACCCAGAGCAGGAUCUGGGUGGGAUCACUCAGAAAAGCAGAUAAAGGCUCCCAUGGGAUCCUCCUGCAGCCAUGGGGGGAAGGUUUAACCCACUCAGGUUCCCAUUUUCCCCUCAGUGUCGAAGGCAUUCAGUGAUAAAAGCACCAGGAAAGGCUGGAGCAGAUCCAGGGAUUGGGCAGGUUUGUAGGAAUUGGAUCCUCAGUCCAGCCUGCUCCAAUCACAGAGGAUGAGCUGCAGCCCAGCCCAGUCAGCAUCUGCUGCAUCCACAGAGAUUUUACUCAGUUCUAAGACUCUGAGAUUUCUCCUCAUACUCUUCCGUGGAUUUCCUCAUGUUUUUUACCUGAGUCCCUGGGUUUGUGCACCUGACUCAGGAUCAGGAGUUUCCUUCAGCAAUGCUUGGUGACACUUUGGGGUCAUCCCUGGGUGUGCUCAGCCAGCAGCAGCUCCUGGGGGCCUGGGGGCUGGGAAACCACUGGGAUUGCAGAAUUCCCUGGAAUUAGGGCAGGAGUUAUCCCAGGGUCUGUUAGGUUGGAAGCAGCUCAUUCUGAGAAAUGCAUUAAUUCUGAUAAUUGCAUUAAUUCUGAUAAAUACAGUUGAUUUUGAUAAAUGUGUUAGUUCUGAUAAAUGCAUUAAUUUAGAUAAAUGGAUUCAUUUUGAUAAACACAGGUAAUUUUGAUACAUUUCAGUUUGAUAAAUGCAUUAAUUGUGAUAAAUGCACUCUCUGUGCCUGGGAGUGGCCUGGCUGUGGCUUGGUGGGCAGCAGAGGGUGAGGGAGGGCACAGCA
Zonotrichia albicollis (white-throated sparrow) is the source of this 1606-nucleotide long non-coding RNA. The record is from Ensembl. NCBI's taxonomy places the organism in Eukaryota, Metazoa, Chordata, Aves, Passeriformes, Passerellidae.